Long non-coding RNA from Rhinopithecus roxellana (golden snub-nosed monkey), 874 nucleotides. RefSeq lists it as uncharacterized. The record is from RefSeq and is a predicted model, not a curated record. The transcript has 3 exons. Lineage: Eukaryota; Metazoa; Chordata; Mammalia; Primates; Cercopithecidae.
AAGAGGGGUGAUUUCUGUAUUUCCAACUGUGGUACCAGGUUCAUCUCACUGGGGCGCAUUGGACAGUGGGUGCAGCCCACUGAGUGAGAGUCGAAGCAGGGUGAGGUGUUGCCUCACCCAGGAAGUGCAAGGGGACCCAUUCAAGAAGAGGCAAUGGCUUUGGAGCACCUGGUAGUGUGUCCUCAGUGAAGACCAGAGUUUCGUUGUCCUCAAGACUGACCUGGGGAGACGUGGCUGCGGGCCAGUGAGGAAGAUGGCACCAAAAGCAAAGAAGGAAGCUGCUGCCCCUCCUAAAGCCAAAGCCAAAGCAAAGGCCAAGAAGGCAGUGUUGAAAUGUGUCCACAGGCCCCCCAAAAAAGAAGAUCUGCACCUCACCCACCUUCCAGCGUCCCAAGACACUGCGACUCCGGAGACAGCCCAGGUAUCCUGGGAAGAGCGCCCCCUGGAGAAACAAGCUUGACCACCAUGCUAUCAACAAGUUUCCAGUGACCACUGAGUCAGCCAUGAAGAAGAUAGAAGACAACAACACGCUUGUGUUCACUGUCGAUGUUAAAGCCAACAAGCACCAGAUCAAACAGACUGUGAAGAAGCUCUGGGACGUGGAUGUGGUCACAGUCAACAUCCUGAUUCGGCCUGAUGGAGAGAAGAAGAUAUAUGUUCGAGUGGCUCCUGAUUACAAUGCUUUAGAUGUUGCCAACAAACUUGGGAUCAUCUAAACUGAGUCCAGCUGGCUGAUUCUAAAUAGAUGUGUAUCUUUUCACCAUAAAAAAAAGGAAAUAAUGUUUUUCAUAAGAAUGAUGACUUAAAAUCUUAAAGCUUAUAGAUUUGAUUCUAAUUAUCUAGUAAGUAUAAUAUUAGCUUCUUGUAAGCACUC